Rhipicephalus sanguineus (brown dog tick) is the source of this 1276-nucleotide long non-coding RNA. RefSeq lists it as uncharacterized. The transcript has 4 exons. The record is from RefSeq and is a predicted model, not a curated record. NCBI's taxonomy places the organism in Eukaryota, Metazoa, Arthropoda, Arachnida, Ixodida, Ixodidae.
UGAACGGAGAGCGAGCCCGUUCGCUCGCGUUCUCUCGCGCGAACAAUGGCGUCGCACGGCAUGUAUUUGGCGGUUGCGGCUGCCGCAACAGCUGAUUUUGAGAAAAUGGCGCUUGCAACGGUGCUUCCCUGCUACGUUGGCGUUUCUCGAAGCAGAUGCAGAAUGGUAGGAGGUGCGAAAUGCGUUUGAAGAGAUGAGCGAGUGUGAAUUCCAGCGUCGCUUUCGUUUCUCGAAACGUGCUGUACGUUGGUUGUACGACGAACUCGACCCCGUCAUCGGGUGCCAACGAACCAGUGGGAUUUAAACAGAGCGGAAGGUGUUGUGCGCGCUGAGAUUUUUUUGCGAUCGGAUGCUUCCAGCGAGCUGUCGGCAGCGAGGAAUUCAUCGGCCUGUCGCAGUCGUCCGUCAGGAACACGCCAUUACUGUCGUUCGCGGGCAAAAACGGUGGGUGGCCUUUCCGGAGACCACAGAAUCGAAGAGCGAACAAAGGCGGCGUUCGCGCGGCUCGGGCGGAUUCCCGUUGUGGUCGGGUGCGUGGAUGGUACGCUCAUCGCUAUCCAGAAGUCCCAUGGUCUGAGCUCCGCGGACACGACGCAUUACAUGUCGUGGAAGGGAGUCUACGCAUUGAACACCGUGAUCACAUGUGAUGCCGACCUCUGGAUGUCAGUCCAUGUUUCCUGGGGUCAUGUCAUGACUCGUGGGUAUGGCGGGGGAGCACUCUCCGUCAGCACCUGAAAGCAAAACUUCGGCUUGCUUGGAGACUCCAGCUAUACAUUAGAACCGUGGCUCCUGACACCAGUGCCCGGACGACCAGCUCGUGGCACCCCUGAUAACCACUACAACAAGGCCCACACCGCCUUGCACAAUGUUGUGGAGUGGUGCAUCGCUGUAAGCUUGUGCAGAGCUGCACAAGCAUCAUCGCUGCUUGUGCAGCUCUGCACGACAUUGCGUUGGCGGCACAUGAGCCUGUUCUCGAAGGGGACGAUGACGACACCGACGAUGCUGAGCUGCUGCCAGCAGCAGCUGAGCUACCACCACCACAACGGGAGCCAGCAGCAGCGCAACCGUGUAGUGAACCUGUUUCGAGAACCACAGGGCCUGCAUGCUUGAGCACCUGCGCAGAGUACGCCGCCGGCUGCAGCGACCUCAGCAGCAUUGUGUGGUGGCUUCCGCUGCAGUGAGGGCCCAGGCGAGGGUACCAACGCCUUGCAAUUUGUGGACCGCGUCACCGAGAAGUUGAACCUGGCGCAGCUUUCCAAUGAUGCCUGGCCCUGCC